UGUUGACGGUUCUUAAGUAUCAAUUUUAAUUAUCAAAUAAACAUGAGAAAGGACCAAUAUGCAACCAGCACCAAGAAUUAGGGUUUGAUCUGACAGAAUUCCACGAGUUUUGUUGUUUAUCUAUUUCUGCAGGGGGUUAUCAGGAAAUAAGGAAGAAAGGCCCACAUGUCGGGAUUACAUAGAGAUAUCAACACACCGCGUAAUUUUACAUCAUCUAGAAGACUCCAGAAGCCACGAGACCGAAGCGGAGGCAAAACUGGGCCAAGCCCAGGGCGCCCGCCCUGGUAGCCUGGGCGCCCGCCCCCCUGCUGGAACCAAUUCAGGACUCCUUCGCUCGGGAUAUUCCACCGACCUAUUGGAUCAAGGAAAACAUAGUACCACCUCGGCUAUCGACCCAAAAACGCAUAGAAGGGGAGGACUAUAUAAGCGAGGCCCCCUGGCCCCUGGAGGAGACAUGAAGAAAUUAUCAUAGAGACUGAGGGGUGCCCUUGAAGGAAAACCUCUUCUCUAAUUAAUAUUUCUUUUUAGGCUUAGCAAUCAAUGUAAGGUAGAAAUAGAUCUUCUAGUUUCUACUAGAUUGGGAGAGAUAGAGUGGAGG
RNAcentral lists this long non-coding RNA (598 nucleotides) under Sorghum bicolor (sorghum). Its description in RNAcentral is "long non-coding RNA (SBIC_LNC000209)". Lineage: Eukaryota; Viridiplantae; Streptophyta; Magnoliopsida; Poales; Poaceae. The record is from RNAcentral.